Molecule: long non-coding RNA, 93 nt
Organism: Amblyraja radiata (thorny skate)
Lineage: Eukaryota; Metazoa; Chordata; Chondrichthyes; Rajiformes; Rajidae
Exons: 3
Source: RefSeq, a predicted model, not a curated record
CUUGUGUGGAAAACCAAGCGCUGGAGUAACUCAGCGGGUCAGGUAGGAACUGUGGAAGGAAUGGUUAGGCAACGUUUUUCAUUUAACGGGAUC